AACGAACGCUGGCGGCAUGCCUAACACAUGCAAGUCGAACGAGACCUUCGGGUCUAGUUGCGCACGGGUGCGUAACGCGUGGGAACCUGCCCUUAGGUUCGGAAUAACUCCCCGAAAGGGGUGCUAAUACCGGAUAAUGUCUUCGGACCAAAGAUUUAUCGCCUUUGGAUGGGCCCGCGUCGGUUUAGCUGGUUGGUAGGGUAAAAGCCUACCAAGGCGACGAUCCAUAGCUGGUCGGGGAGGAUGACCAGCCACACUGGGACUGAGACACGGCCCAGACUCCUAGGGGAGGCAGCAGUGGGGAAUAUUGGACAAUGGGCGAAAGCCUGGUCCAGCAAUGCCGCGUGAGUGAUGAAGGCGUUAGGGUUGUAAAGCUCUUUUACCCGGGAUGAUAAUGACAGUACCGGGAGAAUAAGCUCCGGCUAACUCCGUG
Molecule: ribosomal RNA, 433 nt
Filed under: uncultured bacterium
Lineage: Bacteria
Description: partial 16S ribosomal RNA
Rfam family: Bacterial small subunit ribosomal RNA
Source: RNAcentral